CCCAACUGGAAUUUUUCCUGAAAUAGAAAAAGACACAUGCAGGCAUACAUAUAUGUAAUUCAUCUGCAUAUACAUUCAUAUCAGGUCCAAUUGGCAAAGGUGAAGUGUGGUGACAAGGGGCGUCGUUCUCUUUUCUCAGGAUAGUGAGUGGAACUGGGGGGCUGACCUGGCACAGCGUGACAAUAAUACCAGGAUAGUCCAUGACAAUGAAUAAGUCCAUAAUAAAAGCAAUAUCUCAGAGGCUCGCACAUAGGAAGUCCAUCUCUGGGCACAUAGACUUGAAUAACACCUGUUAAUAAAUACGGUCAGCAGCACACAUAUAAAAUGACAAUACAGGACUCUGACAAUACCAGGGCCAUGUUAUCCUGGCAAGUCCUGCUUACCCUUUAAAACGGUGCUGACAUAAAAGAGCCCUUUCAACCUGUAAUGGGGGUUAAAAGGGGAAAAGUAUGUGCAAUAACUUCAA
Long non-coding RNA from Bufo bufo (common toad), 466 nucleotides. RefSeq lists it as uncharacterized. The record is from RefSeq and is a predicted model, not a curated record. The transcript has 3 exons. Lineage: Eukaryota; Metazoa; Chordata; Amphibia; Anura; Bufonidae.